AUUGACCUUUAUUUGGUACUGUUCAUGGCUCUGCCUCUCACUGUGUGACCUUAGGCAAGUGAUUUGCCACUCUGUGCCUUAGUUUCCCCAGCUAUACAGUGGGGAUGAUAUUGACUUCACAGGGUGGAUGAGACUUAAUAUUUGUAAAGCACUUGGGCUGGGAUUGUUAGAGGAGCCUAAGGGGAUAAGUAAGGUGCCUAAUUCCCUUAGACUUUUCUGAAAGCCUUUGUUGGAGAUUUUUGGAAGAAAGGAGUUAGAGAAGGACAAACCCUUAUUACUGUAUUAAUUUUAGUGGGUAUAGCUUCUGCAUUAUUGGUGACUUGCUGCUGCUUACUCCUAAAGGUGGGAACAUCCUGCUGUGAAGGCUUUUACAAUCUUGUCUCUACUGUAACUUUUACAAAUCAAUUUUCUGACAUAGCUAUGGCAGGGUUGGAUGUGGUCUGGUUGCCAUGUUUUGGUCUGUGUAUCCUAAACCACUGUUGGUAUCUCUUCAUUUUAGGCUGAAAAUGGAAAUGAUGAGCUGGGAGGAAACAGUUGCUUUGAAGAAAUGGCACGUUCCAGAUAUGGGGCUCAGUGAGCUGAUUGUGGAGAGGCUGAGGAUGAAGACUGACUCCCCAGCCCCAUGAAAUGAUCGGGGCUGAAGUGGAAAAAUUAAGUACUGUAACUGAAUCUUGAAAAUGGUCUGUAAUGAAACAUCCUGGACCUGAGCCCCAAGGACUGUAGGGUUAUAAAGGAUGGAAAAGAGGAAGUAUCAGCAUUGCAGAUGGGAAACUGAGGUACAGAGAGCUGAAGACUGAAAUUUUCAAAGGAGCCCACUGGAGUUAGGUGAAGUUGGGAAGCCAGGGAGUCCAUGUUGCAACGUGAGGAAGUUGGGUAAGGAAGCAGCUAAAAUUCUCAAACACUUGAGGUCUCAGAGUCAUGGUGAUUGGUGUGUGGGAGGGGCAACCACAUUGCCACUUUUAGGACUAGGAGGGGUCUGCUGUGAUGAACUGCAUGUUCAGUCCGUGUUUCACCUGAUUUACCUUGAUUACACACAUGCCCAGAGCAGACUAAUGAAACAAACACCUGUAGCUGAAGUCUGAUUUGGGGGGAAGAAAUUGAUGUUCUAAUGGUUUCCAGUGCAACCAUAUGUAAAGUCCCAGACAGUGAGGGGAAUAAGUAGCAGAUCCAGGGGACCUCUUCAGAAACGUGGAUCUGGUUUCUGUGCAAAUGAAGAAGGAACAGAGACACAAGGAAGGGCAAGAACUCUGAAGACAAGAUUGGCUGGUUUCGCUUCUCCCUCCUCACCCUGGAUCCUUAUAGGAAUCACAGAUGGAUGAUUUGAGAUGAGCCCUAAAGGAAAGGAAAAUGUAUCUUUCUCUCCACCAGAAUCAACUGUAAGAGAGAAUUUGAGGCCUGAAGAUUAAAAGAUUUCCCCCAUCUCCGAUCUGCAUUACAAAGACUCUUUGAAGUUAUGUUCAGGAAAGGCUAUGCUAAAAACAGGAUAAAUAAUAAAACUAGAUUAAAUGGA
This is a long non-coding RNA of Gopherus flavomarginatus (Mexican gopher tortoise), 1510 nucleotides long. RefSeq lists it as uncharacterized. NCBI's taxonomy places the organism in Eukaryota, Metazoa, Chordata, Testudines, Testudinidae. The transcript is spliced from 6 exons. The record is from RefSeq and is a predicted model, not a curated record.